Molecule: transfer RNA, 69 nt
Filed under: Sciomyza simplex
Lineage: Eukaryota; Metazoa; Arthropoda; Insecta; Diptera; Sciomyzidae
Description: tRNA-Gln
Source: RNAcentral
UAUAUUUUAGUGUAUGAUGCACAAAGGUUUUUGAUACCUUUAGAGAUAGUUUGAUUCUAUUAAAUAUAA